AACGUAGGGUGCAAGCGUUGUCCGGAAUUACUGGGUGUAAAGGGAGCGCAGGCGGGAAGACAAGUUGGAAGUGAAAACCAUGGGCUCAACCCAUGAAUUGCUUUCAAAACUGUUUUUCUUGAGUAGUGCAGAGGUAGAUGGAAUUCCCGGUGUAGCGGUGGAAUGCGUAGAUAUCGGGAGGAACACCAGUGGCGAAGGCGGUCUACUGGGCACCAACUGACGCUGAGGCUCGAAAGCAUGGGUAGCAAACA
Molecule: ribosomal RNA, 251 nt
Filed under: uncultured bacterium
Lineage: Bacteria
Description: partial 16S ribosomal RNA
Rfam family: Bacterial small subunit ribosomal RNA
Source: RNAcentral